UUUUUUUUUUUUUUUUUUUUUUUUUGAGACAGCGGUGUCUUCUAGGCUGGAGUGCAGUGAUGCGAUCUCAGUUCACUGCAACCUCCACUUCUCAGGUUCAAGCAAUUCUCCCACCUCAGCCUCCUGAGUAGCUGGAACUACAGGCCUGCAACACCAUGCCUGGCUAAUUUUUGUAUUUUUAGUAGAGAUGAGGUUUCACCAUAUUGGCCAGACUGGUCUGGAACUUCUGACCUCAAGUGAUCUGCCUGCCUCAGCCUCCCAAAGUGCUGAGAUUACAGGUGUGAGCCACCAUGACUUCCUCUCCUUUUCUUGAAUGUGAUACCUUGGGCUGCAGCAGCUACCUUUCAACCAUGAGGAAAGAACAUGGCAUGCAAACAACAAGCUAAGGAUAAGUGAAGCAGAAAUAUAAAAAGAAGCUGGGUUUUUGCUGGCAUUUCUGAAUCAUUGCACCAAACUUGAAGACCCUUACUUUCUAUGUGAAAUAAUUAAAUAUCUAUAUUGCUCAAGCAAGUCUUGGUUGACUCUUCUGUUAUUUGCAGCCCAAAGCAUCCAAACGGAAUCAACUGUCCUUAUCACACUGAAUCAUAAUAACAAUCCUCUAGGGAGGGGAUUGUUUUUGACUCAGAGAAGUGAAGUGACAUAGUUAAUGUCAAGCUGGCAAGUGGCAAUACCUCUUUGGGAAGGGUUGGGAGGAUUUGAUUAUUGGUAAGAAUUUAAUUUCUGUCUCCUUCACUGCAUCUGUCCUAUCACAGUCUGACCAUGGGGCAUAACUUCCUCCCUUACCAUUCUGGUCUUUGGUCUUCUCUCUCUAUCCAUCCCACCCAGGGUCUCAGACUAGACCCAGGAAAAGCUGUUGUGGAGUAGCGGGGAGGCAGCAAGUCACCACAGUGCAUUCCUCGAUGGACUUUUCCUAAUGAGUGUGGCCAGAUUCUGGUACCAAUGACUGCGGAGAAACCCAAACCCAACUCAGAGAUAAUUCUGGCCUCUAAACAGCCCCUCUUUGGGGGAGAUGUUAUAGCAAAAGAGAGAAAGAGCUCAGAGACACAAAAACAGACAGAGGAAAGGAGGGAAAAACAGCAGGAGAAAGAGUAGAGAAGGAGGAGGAUGAGAAGAUGGGAGAAGAGAGGAUCUCAUGUUAGAGUUUGACAGGCCUAACAUUGAAUCUCAGUCCAGACACUGACCAGUAGCUGACCUAGAAGGGUAGGGAGAUUCAAACAGGCCCUUUGGAAGGCAGGGAAUUUGAGAGCCACAGUGGGGUGAGCAGGGGAAGAGUAACUGCUCCAGAUCCUGCAACUGAUUCCCCAAACCCUGGGUGGUGGUUAUGUGUGUAGGGAGCCCUCUCUGAGGGCUGCCCUGGAUUCGUGGGGAAGGCAGGGGCAGGAAUGGCCUCAGACUAGGGGAAAAGAGGAGGGCCUAUGUCAAGGCACAGAAAGCACCUGAGCUUCGCCUCCACCACCUUUGGGCAGUGGCCAGAGAGGAGCCUAGGGAUGACCUUUGGCCUGGGCAGUGGGCAGAGAGGAGCCUGGGGUUGGCCUUUGGUUUGGGUAGCAGGUAGAGAGGAUCCCGGUGAUGAUCUUUGGCUUGGGCAAUAACUGGGGAGGGGCUGGAUCACAUGUCUCCAGGGUCUGGCAUACAGCCAGUGCCCUCAGCUGAAGUACUGAGCCUAGGGCUGGUGGGUGAGGAAAGGAAGGAGCAGUUUUCCAGCGUUA
Molecule: long non-coding RNA, 1709 nt
Organism: Macaca fascicularis (crab-eating macaque)
Lineage: Eukaryota; Metazoa; Chordata; Mammalia; Primates; Cercopithecidae
Source: Ensembl